This 253-nucleotide ribosomal RNA is filed under the name uncultured bacterium. Its description in RNAcentral is "partial 16S ribosomal RNA". It matches the Rfam family "Bacterial small subunit ribosomal RNA", at positions 524 to 776 of the family's 1533-position model. The record is from RNAcentral.
UACGUAGGGAGCAAGCGUUGUCCGGAAUCAUUGGGCGUAAAGCGCGCGUAGGUGGCUUCGUAAGUCCGCUGUGAAAGUCAAAGGCUCAACCUUUGAAAGCCGGUGGAUACUGUGGAGCUAGAGUCCGGAAGAGGCGAGUGGAAUUCCUGGUGUAGCGGUGGAAUGCGCAGAUAUCAGGAGGAACACCAAUUGCGAAGGCAGCUCGCUGGGACGUUACUGACGCUGAGACGCGAAAGCGUGGGGAGCAAACAGG